Molecule: ribosomal RNA, 543 nt
Filed under: Polyrhachis dives
Lineage: Eukaryota; Metazoa; Arthropoda; Insecta; Hymenoptera; Formicidae
Description: partial 28S ribosomal RNA
Source: RNAcentral
UUGAAAAGAACUUUGAAGAGAGAGUUCAAGUACGUGAAGGGGUAAACCUAAGAAACUCAAAAGAUCGAACGAGGAGAUUCAUCGUCAGCGGCGCUGGCUUCGCGUCGGUGGGCGAUGUCCCGCGGAGUCCUCGCGGCUCGCGCGCAGGCACGCUACCGUACGCCGAUGUCCGGCUGUCGUCGUCGUGCACUUCUCCCCAAGUAGAACGUCGCGACCCGCUGGGUGUCGGUCUACGGCCCGGGGCGUUGACUGUCGCGUCGCCGGUAAAACGGCACGCGACAAACCCUCGGUCGCCCGGCCGGCUGCUCGGCGGUACGCGCAAGGUAUCAGGCCGCACUUCUACACGGUGCGUCGAGGCCGUCGCAAGCGCGCGCCACGGUACUCGGAGGUUACGGACUUUGCACCGUCCCGGGUCCUGGCCCGCUGUUGAUUAAAGUACGGAUCACCUUCGUUUGCGGCUUUCUCGCGAGGCAAUCGUCUCCCUCGAGUCGUCACGAAGCCCUGACGAGUAGGAGGGUCGCGACGGUGAGCGCAGAAGGGUCU